GCAACGAGCGCAACCCUGCCCUUAGUUGCCAUCGGGUCACGCCGGGAACUCUAAGGGACCGCCCGGACAACGGGGAGGAAGGUGGGGAUGACGUCAAGUCAGCAUGGCCUUUAUGUCCAGGGCUACACACGUGCUACAAUGGUUGGUACAAAGGGUUGCCAAGCCGUGAGGCGGAGCCAAUCUCAAAAAGCCAACCUCAGUUCGGAUUGCAGUCUGCAACUCGACUGCAUGAAGUUGGAAUCGCUAGUAAUCGCUGAUCAGCAGGCAGCGGUGAAUACGUUCCCGGGCCUU
RNAcentral lists this ribosomal RNA (291 nucleotides) under uncultured Holophagae bacterium. RNAcentral's name for it is "partial 16S ribosomal RNA". It matches the Rfam family "Bacterial small subunit ribosomal RNA", at positions 1089 to 1382 of the family's 1533-position model. Lineage: Bacteria; Pseudomonadati; Acidobacteriota; Holophagae. The record is from RNAcentral.